AUUAAACGCUGGCGGCAUGCCUUACACAUGCAAGUCGAACGGCAGCACGGGGGGCAACCCUGGUGGCGAGUGGCGGACGGGUGAGUAAAGCAUCGGAACGUAUCCUGGAGUGGGGGAUAACGUAGCGAAAGUUACGCUAAUACCGCAUAUUCUGUGAGCAGGAAAGCAGGGGAUCGCAAGACCUUGCGCUCUGGGAGCGGCCGAUGUCGGAUUAGCUAGUUGGUGGGUAAAGCCUACCAAGGCGACGAUCCGUAGCGGGUCUGAGAGGAUGAUCCGCCACACUGGGACUGAGACACGGCCCAGACUCCUACGGGAGGCAGCAGUGGGGAAUUUUGGGACAAUGGGCGCAAGCCUGAUCCAGCCAUGCCGCGUGAGUGAAGAAGGCC
RNAcentral lists this ribosomal RNA (386 nucleotides) under uncultured bacterium. RNAcentral's name for it is "bacterial SSU rRNA". It matches the Rfam family "Bacterial small subunit ribosomal RNA", at positions 29 to 416 of the family's 1533-position model. The record is from RNAcentral.